This 638-nucleotide ribosomal RNA is filed under the name uncultured eukaryote. RNAcentral's name for it is "SSU rRNA". It matches the Rfam family "Eukaryotic small subunit ribosomal RNA", at positions 618 to 1262 of the family's 1831-position model. The record is from RNAcentral.
GUUAAAAAGCUCGUAGUUGGAUUUCUGUUGAGGAAGUCCGGUCCGCACUUUGUGCGUGAUCUGGUUCUGCCUCGGCAUCCUCGCGGGGAACGCGCUGCACUUGAUUGCGUGGUGCGGUAUUCGCGACUUUUACUUUGAGGAAAUUAGAGUGUUCACGGCAGGCUAUCGCCUUGAAUACGUUAGCAUGGAAUAAUAAUAUAGGACCUUGGUUCUAUUUUGUUGGUUUCUAGAACUAAGGUAAUGAUUAAUAGGGAUAAUUGGGGGCAUUUGUAUUAACACGUCAGAGGUGAAAUUCUUGGAUUGUGUUACGACAAACUACUGCGAAAGCAUUUGCCAAGGAUGUUUUCAUUGAUCAAGAACGAAAGUAAGGGGAUCGAAGACGAUUAGAUACCGUCGUAGUCUUUACCAUAAACUAUGCCAACUAGAGAUUGGAGGUCGUUCUUUUUAUGACUCCUUCAGCACCUUAUGAGAAAUCAAAGUCUUUGGGUUCCGGGGGGAGUAUGGUCGCAAGGCUGAAACUUAAAGGAAUUGACGGAAGGGCACCACCAGGAGUGGAGCCUGCGGCUUAAUUUGACUCAACACGGGGAAACUUACCAGGUCCAGACAUAGUAAGGAUGGACAGAUUGAUAGCUCUUUCU